RNAcentral lists this ribosomal RNA (529 nucleotides) under uncultured bacterium. RNAcentral describes it as "bacterial SSU rRNA". It matches the Rfam family "Bacterial small subunit ribosomal RNA", at positions 777 to 1307 of the family's 1533-position model. The record is from RNAcentral.
AAUAGAUACCCCGGUAGUCCUGGCCAUAAACGAUGAUCACUAGGUGUAGGAGGCUUCGACCCCUUCUGCGCCGCCGCUAACGCAUUAAGUGAUCCGCCUGGGGAGUACGGCCGCAAGGUUAAAACUCAAAGGAAUUGACGGGGGCCCGCACAAGCAGUGGAGCAUGUGGUUUAAUUCGAUGCUACGCGAAAAACCUUACCAGGGUUUGACAUCCCGGUGUAAGCCCAUAGAAAUAUGGGCCCCCUUCGGGCACCGGUGACAGGUGGUGCAUGGUUGUCGUCAGCUCGUGCCGUGAGGUGUUGGAUUAAGUUCCGCAACGAGCGCAACCCUCGUUGCUAGUUGCCAUCAUUAAGUUGGGCACUCUAGCGAGACUGCCAGCGUCAAGCUGGAGGAAGGUGGGGAUGACGUCAAAUCAUCAUGCCCCUUACAUCCUGGGCUACACACGUGCUACAAUGGCCGGUACAACGGGUUGCUACUUCGCGAGAAGAUGCGAAUCCCCAAAGCCGGUCUCAGUUCGGAUUGCAGGCUG